ACCACUUCUCAGCAUAUUCGGUAGGAUAAAAAUUUAAUAUCUGUUCUGUUCCAACCAGCUUUAAAAUCUGAUGUGUUCUUAAUAUGAGAACUUCGAUUUUAAAUUGAAUUUUGAUUAUCGACGAAGAUGUUGGUGUUUGUUCCAUCUUUGCUAUGAUCUGAUUUCGUAUUGCAAAAAUGAGAUACGUGUUGUAGCAC
Octopus bimaculoides (California two-spot octopus) is the source of this 197-nucleotide non-coding RNA. The record is from Rfam. Lineage: Eukaryota; Metazoa; Mollusca; Cephalopoda; Octopoda; Octopodidae.